AACCCUCACACAAUUCUCAAUAUCUAGUCCAGUCUAUUGAAGUGUUUCCUGUACUUCAGAAGCUAAAAGUACAUUUCCCACGCUCCUUUACAAUUAUGAUUCUGGACUUCUGAGGCUUGGCUGGCAGAAGCAAAGUGGACCCUGUGCUUCCGACAUCUCUGCUGCUGAAGAUGACUAUGAAGAUGUUUGGCUGCUCUACUGCAAUUUAGUCGGAAGCAAGAAUCUGUUCGAAUGCAAAAGACCACUGAUGUUCUUCCCUGGGAGAAGAAGGAUCUUUCUCCACAUUGCUCUCUGCAUUCCCCUCACUGGGUCCAGAAUCACCGGCUGUCCUGGAGAAUCCUUUGGCUGAUGAUGUGGGGCUAUGGAGUUUCCUUCCAACUUCUUCCAUCCUGAGCAAAAGGGUCUGUAUCACAUACAACCUAUUUCGACAGCGCAUGCUAUGGAUAUCUUCAUAGCGAAUACUACCAUAUUUCUGCAAGAAAUGAUUUCAGUGGAUACUAAUUCAUAAUAAACAUCUACUUCUCUUACAACUGAA
Peromyscus eremicus (cactus mouse) is the source of this 535-nucleotide long non-coding RNA. RefSeq lists it as uncharacterized. The record is from RefSeq and is a predicted model, not a curated record. Lineage: Eukaryota; Metazoa; Chordata; Mammalia; Rodentia; Cricetidae. The transcript has 3 exons.